AGCGAAAUAGUUUAGCGGUUAUAACAAUGGAAUCAUAAUCCGUGUGCCGUAGGUUCAAAUCCUACUUUCGCUA
This 73-nucleotide transfer RNA is filed under the name Cyanophora sudae. RNAcentral describes it as "tRNA-Met". It matches the Rfam family "tRNA". Rfam says of the family: Transfer RNA (tRNA) molecules are approximately 80 nucleotides in length. Their secondary structure includes four short double-helical elements and three loops (D, anti-codon, and T loops). The record is from RNAcentral. Lineage: Eukaryota; Glaucocystophyceae; Cyanophorales; Cyanophoraceae.